RNAcentral lists this long non-coding RNA (496 nucleotides) under Penaeus japonicus. RNAcentral describes it as "uncharacterized LOC122246408". Lineage: Eukaryota; Metazoa; Arthropoda; Malacostraca; Decapoda; Penaeidae. The record is from RNAcentral.
CGGCGGCGACUCGGGAAAGACGCACACGAAGAAGUUGCUGUUGUUUUUGUUGUGGGGGAUAAUAUUUUCGAGUUUAUUCUAGAUUGAUUUUCGUUGAGGGUGGAAGAAUAGCAGGAUGAGAACACUGGUUGUGUUUCUGCUUUUCGUUGCUAUAAUGCAAUGUUCGGUUACAGCCGCGCCCCAAAGGGCUGACGAGCAAUCUAACCUGCAAUGCAACCAUAUUCCGGAUGAGCACCCCUACAGCGGCAAUGUACCCCCGAUGACUGAGAAGGAUGAGAACGAUGGAAGCGGCCGUGAUGGCUCGAAGGGAAAUGGACGGAAAUGAGAACAACAAUCAUUAAAAAUGGCGCCAUGGAAGUUGCAAAGUGUUUCAAAGUGAUUCUUGAUCAGUUAUAUAUCAAAAUUAUUUGGUGAUUAUUGCACAAGUGAAAAAGUUAAAUUCACUGCUUCAUAUUUUCUGAUGAUGUAACCAUUCCAUUAAAAGCAUAUGAGUGUA